Non-coding RNA from Canis lupus familiaris (dog), 125 nucleotides. The record is from Rfam. Lineage: Eukaryota; Metazoa; Chordata; Mammalia; Carnivora; Canidae.
AUUUUUGUGCUGAGGCAAUAUUGCAGUUAAUGAGAUUUUAAUCAAAGCACAAUUACUGCUGAUUGAAAGUUGCCAUGACAGUAACGUAUUGGUGAGACUGAUUAUAUUUAAAUGCUGAACUUUAG